RNAcentral lists this small nuclear RNA (20 nucleotides) under Arabidopsis thaliana (thale cress). Its description in RNAcentral is "snRNA_06171". Lineage: Eukaryota; Viridiplantae; Streptophyta; Magnoliopsida; Brassicales; Brassicaceae. The record is from RNAcentral.
GGCUCAAUGGGUAGUCGCCA